GUGGAAUGUGGCAGUUUGAAAGAAAAUAGUCUCCACAGGGAAUGACACAAUUAGGAGGUGUGAUCUUGUUGGAGUAGGUGUGGCCUUGGAGGAAGUGUGCCAUUGUGGAGAGGGGCUUUGAGGUCUCAUAUAUGCUCAAGCUACUCCCAGUGAGACGGACCACUUCCCUGUUGCCUGUGAGUCAAGAUGUAAGAACUCUCAGCUCCUUUUCUAGCAUCAUGUCUGUCUGCAGGCUGCCUUGUCAUACCAUGAUGGUAAUGGACCAAACCUCUGAACUGUUAUUAUAACUCACUGUAGCCAAGGGUGCCUGGGCUGAAGAUCUCUCAAAGGCUGAGCAGCAGGCAAUAGUGCCUCUGGAAGCUCUAGGAUGAACUUCUCUGCUUGCUCUAAGAAACUGAAGCUAAGACUUGGACUGUUAGAAAAUAAUCAUUGUUUGGGAUAAGUCUUCCAUGCUUUAAAACUUGUAAAAUCACAUUUUGCCACUUCAAGAGUUUUUUUCACAAGAAUAUUCUUUGCAUCUGGGUGAAGGAGACACUCUGCAGGAAGCUGUGUGCCUGGUCCAUGGUAGGCACUGUAAGAGAUAUGUGUGAGAGAGUACAUGUGACUGUUAUCACUGCAGACAAAGCUAUGGUGAGAAAUAUCAGUUGCUGGAAUGAUACAGAAGCUCUCUGGCUUUUGGCUGAGCAUAAAAACUACAUUUCCCAAUAUCCUUUGCAGGAAACUUCACCCAGGAGUUCACAACACUGGAGCUGCCUAUGUGGCCGAUUGCCAGAGUUGAGCACACAUGGUGCUGGCCAAAAAGGGGCUUAGCUUUCCCAGGAGAGACUAAGAGCAAGAAUUGGACAAGCAGAGAACAGUCUUCAAAUGAAUGUUUGGGACACAUUUGUCACAACAUUUUAUUAUAGAACAAUGACAUUCUGAUAUAUUUAGAUUCUUGUCAUUUUUUACUUAAUCUUUGUGUGUGUGUGUGUGUGUGUGUGUGUGUGUGUGUGUGUGUGUGUGUGUGUGUGUUUCAUGUCUGUUAAUAUAGACACCUAUGUUUCAUGAUAUGUAGAGGUCAGAAUUCAACCUGUUAUAAUGGUCCAGACUUUCCACUUGGUUUAAGGCUGGGUCUCUUGUCAUCUCCAUGGUAUGGACCAGUCUUAACUGUAGUGGAGACUCUGUGAAUUCCCCUCCCUUCUACCCAAAAGAACUCUGGGAUGGAAGAUGCCGUUGUCUGAUAUUGUGUGGAUAUCUGAACUCAGGUCCUUGUUCUGCAGUGAAACCUUUACCAAAUGAACUUCAGGGGAACUAGAGAGAAUUCUGGG
RNAcentral lists this long non-coding RNA (1307 nucleotides) under Cricetulus griseus (Chinese hamster). RNAcentral's name for it is "lncRNA (ENSCGRG00015013011.2)". The record is from RNAcentral. Lineage: Eukaryota; Metazoa; Chordata; Mammalia; Rodentia; Cricetidae.